UUCUGGUAUCAGAAUCUGUUCUUGGUUGUGUCAUGUCAAAACUUCUGUUGGAGAAUGACUUUGAAGCCAGUUUUAGAGAUAUGAUCAGAAGGGGAAAGGUUUCCUUUUGGACGUGUAUUCAUAAUUCAAGUACAUACUGGAAAAUGGAGCUUUCUUUCUGCGGACCUUUUGACGAACUCUCGGAAAUACUCGAACCAGCCUCUCUUUUCUCCUUCCGUCCAUGGCUUCUGGGAGCUGACUAGUCAGAAGUCCAGGGCUGCCUCAAUGUGGCGCAUUGUAUGCUGUACAGCAAUAGGUGGAGCUAGUCACUGAUCGGCCAUCUUACAGUCUCACAUGUAUAUGGUCUGCUACAUAACAGCCAUCAAUUAAUCGCUCUAGUUAUCUUCCGUAGCUUUUUGCCUAAUAGUCUUCAUCUUAGUCUCUUA
Eucalyptus grandis is the source of this 425-nucleotide long non-coding RNA. RefSeq lists it as uncharacterized. The record is from RefSeq and is a predicted model, not a curated record. The transcript has 2 exons. NCBI's taxonomy places the organism in Eukaryota, Viridiplantae, Streptophyta, Magnoliopsida, Myrtales, Myrtaceae.